CCUACGGGAGGCAGCAGUGGGGAAUAUUGCACAAUGGGGGAAACCCUGAUGCAGCGACGCCGCGUGAGUGAAGAAGUAUUUCGGUAUGUAAAGCUCUAUCUGCAGGGAAGCAAAUGACGGUACGUGAUUAAGAAGCCCCGGCUAACUACGUGCCAGCAGCCGUGGCACUACGCAGGGGGCAAGCGUUAUCCGGAUUUACUGGGUGUAAAGGGAGCGUAGGCGGAAGCAGCAGUCUGGAGUGAAAUGCCGGGGGUUAACCCCGGAAGUGCUGUGGAAACUGUGCAGCUAGAGUGCAGGAGAGGUACGUGGAAUGCGUGGUGUAGCGGUGAAAUGCAUAGAUAUUAGGAAGAACUCCAGUGGCGAAGGCAGCUUACUGGACUGUAACUGACGUUGAGGCACGAAAGCGUGGGGAGCGAACAGGAUUAGAUACCCGAGUAGUC
RNAcentral lists this ribosomal RNA (440 nucleotides) under uncultured bacterium. RNAcentral's name for it is "partial 16S ribosomal RNA". It matches the Rfam family "Bacterial small subunit ribosomal RNA", at positions 338 to 795 of the family's 1533-position model. The record is from RNAcentral.